RNAcentral lists this ribosomal RNA (466 nucleotides) under uncultured bacterium. RNAcentral describes it as "partial 16S ribosomal RNA". It matches the Rfam family "Bacterial small subunit ribosomal RNA", at positions 28 to 507 of the family's 1533-position model. The record is from RNAcentral.
GACGAACGCUGGCGGCGUGCUUAACACAUGCAAGUCGAACGGAAAGGCCUCUUUCGGGGGGUACUCGAGUGGCGAACGGGUGAGUAACACGUGAGUAACCUGCCCUUGACUUUGGGAUAACUUCAGGAAACUGGGGCUAAUACCGGAUAGGAGCUCCUGCUGCAUGGUGGGGGUUGGAAAGUUUCGGCGGUUGGGGAUGGACUCGCGGCUUAUCAGCUUGUUGGUGGGGUAGUGGCUUACCAAGGCUUUGACGGGUAGCCGGCCUGAGAGGGUGACCGGCCCCCUGGGGGCUGGGGUAGGCCCCAGCCUCCACUGGGGGGCAAUGGUGGGAAAUUUUGACCAGUGGGGGGGAGCCGGUGGAGAACACCCUGUGGGGGGAAAGCCGUCCUUCUGGUUUAAAACCGCUUCCGCUUAAUACCAAGCUUUUUUGACGGGACGUGGAGAAAAAACCCCCGCUAACUUCGUG